This 274-nucleotide ribosomal RNA is filed under the name uncultured bacterium. RNAcentral's name for it is "partial 16S ribosomal RNA". It matches the Rfam family "Bacterial small subunit ribosomal RNA", at positions 523 to 796 of the family's 1533-position model. The record is from RNAcentral.
AUACGGAGGGUGCAAGCGUUAUGCGGAAUCAUUGGAUUUAAAGGGUCCGUAGGCGGGCUAAUAAGUCAGGGGUGAAAUCCCACAGCUUAACUAUGGAACUGCCCUUGAUACUGUUGGUCUUGAGUUACAGUGAAGUGGUUAGAAUGUGUAGUGUAGCGGUGAAAUGCAUAGAGAUUACACAGAAUACCGAUUGCGAAGGCAGAUCACUAACUGUAUACUGACGCUAACGGACGAAAGCGUGGGGAGUGAACAGGAUUAGAUACCCCAGUAGUCC